AAAUUGACGGGGACCCGCACAAGCGGUGGAUGAUGUGGAUUAAUUCGAUGCAACGCGAAGAACCUUACACCCUUGACAUGUCCGGAACUUGCCAGAGAUGGCUUGGUGCCCGAAAGGGAAUCGGAACACAGGUGCUGCAUGGCUGUCGUCAGCUCGUGUCGUGAGAUGUUGGGUUAAGUCCCGCAACGAGCGCAACCCUUAUCAUUAGUUGCUACGCAAGGGCACUCUAAUGAGACUGCCGGUGACAAACCGGAGGAAGGUGGGGAUGACGUCAAGUCCUCAUGGCCCUUAUGGGUAGGGCUUCACACGUCAUACAAUGGUCGGUACAGAGGGUUGCCAAGCCGCGAGGCGGAGCCAAUCCCACAAAGCCGAUCGUAGUCCGGAUCGCAGUCUGCAACUCGACUGCGUGAAGUCGGAAUCGCUAGUAAUCGUGGAUCAGCAUGUCACGGUGAAUACGUUCCCGGGUCUU
This 469-nucleotide ribosomal RNA is filed under the name uncultured Limnobacter sp. RNAcentral's name for it is "bacterial SSU rRNA". It matches the Rfam family "Bacterial small subunit ribosomal RNA", at positions 908 to 1382 of the family's 1533-position model. Lineage: Bacteria; Pseudomonadati; Pseudomonadota; Betaproteobacteria; Burkholderiales; Burkholderiaceae. The record is from RNAcentral.